This 253-nucleotide ribosomal RNA is filed under the name uncultured bacterium. Its description in RNAcentral is "partial 16S ribosomal RNA". It matches the Rfam family "Bacterial small subunit ribosomal RNA", at positions 524 to 776 of the family's 1533-position model. The record is from RNAcentral.
UACGUAGGGUGCGAGCGUUGUCCGGAAUUAUUGGGCGUAAAGAGCUCGUAGGCGGUUUGUUGCGUCUAUCGUGAAAACCUGCAGCUUAACUGUGGGCUUGCGGUGGAUACGGGCAGACUUGAGUUCGGUAGGGGAGACUGGAAUUCCUGGUGUAGCGGUGAAAUGCGCAGAUAUCAGGAGGAACACCGGUGGCGAAGGCGGGUCUCUGGGCAUUACCUGACGCUGAGGAGCGAAAGUGUGGGGAGCGAACAGG